CUUCGGCUUCUUCUCCGCCGGGGUCUUCUCGGCUAUCGUCUUCUUCUCCUCAGCGGGCUUCUUCUCAGCUGGCUUCUUCUCAGCUUUUGGUGCCAUUGUUCUUCAGCGUUGGAUUGAAAUUC
Long non-coding RNA from Hibiscus syriacus, 122 nucleotides. RefSeq lists it as uncharacterized. The transcript has 3 exons. Lineage: Eukaryota; Viridiplantae; Streptophyta; Magnoliopsida; Malvales; Malvaceae. The record is from RefSeq and is a predicted model, not a curated record.